RNAcentral lists this ribosomal RNA (468 nucleotides) under uncultured bacterium. Its description in RNAcentral is "partial 16S ribosomal RNA". It matches the Rfam family "Bacterial small subunit ribosomal RNA", at positions 28 to 507 of the family's 1533-position model. The record is from RNAcentral.
GACGAACGCUGGCGGCGUGCUUAACACAUGCAAGUCGAACGGAAAGGCCCUGCUUUUGUGGGGUGCUCGAGUGGCGAACGGGUGAGUAACACGUGAGUAACCUGCCCUUGACUUUGGGAUAACUUCAGGAAACUGGGGCUAAUACCGGAUAGGAGCUCCUGCUGCAUGGUGGGGGUUGGAAAGUUUCGGCGGUUGGGGAUGGACUCGCGGCUUAUCAGCUUGUUGGUGGGGUAGUGGCUUACCAAGGCUUUGACGGGUAGCCGGCCUGAGAGGGUGGCCGGCCACAUUGGUACUGAGAUACGGCCCAGACUGCUACGGGAGGCAGCGGUGGGGAAUAUUGCACAAUGGGCCGAAGCCUGAUGCAGCAACGCCGCGUGCGGGAUGACGGCCUUCGGGUUGUGAACCGCUUUCGCCUGUGACGAAGCGUGAGUGACGGUAAUGGGUAAAGAAGCACCGGCUAACUACGUG